AGCAGCCGCGGUAAUUCCAGCUCCAAUAGCGUAUAUUAAAGUUGCUGCAGUUAAAAAGCUCGUAGUUGAAUUUCGGGACUAAUAUGUCGGUCGUGCCUCGGUACGUACUGGUUUAUUGGUUUCUCCUUUCUGAAGAACCAUGAUGUCAUUUAUUUGGUGUCGUGAGGAAUCAGGACUGUUACUUUGAAAAAAUUAGAGUGUUUAAAGCAGGCUCACGCUUGAAUACAUUAGCAUGGAAUAAUGAAAUAGGACGUUUGAUUCUAUUUUGUUGGUUUCUAGGAUCGACGUAAUGAUUAAUAGGGAUAGUUGGGGGCAUUAGUAUUCAAUUGUCAGAGGUGAAAUUCUUGGAUUUAUUGAAGACUAACUACUGCGAAAGCAUUUGCCAAGGAUGUUUUCAUUAAUCAAGAACGAAAGUUAGGGGAUCGAAGACGAUCAGAUACCGUCGUAGUCUUAACCAUAAACUAUGCCGACUAGGGAUCGGAUGAUGUUAAUUUUUUAAUGACUCA
RNAcentral lists this ribosomal RNA (506 nucleotides) under uncultured Glomus. Its description in RNAcentral is "SSU rRNA". It matches the Rfam family "Eukaryotic small subunit ribosomal RNA", at positions 569 to 1078 of the family's 1831-position model. Lineage: Eukaryota; Fungi; Glomeromycota; Glomeromycetes; Glomerales; Glomeraceae. The record is from RNAcentral.